Molecule: ribosomal RNA, 671 nt
Filed under: uncultured bacterium
Lineage: Bacteria
Description: bacterial SSU rRNA
Rfam family: Bacterial small subunit ribosomal RNA
Source: RNAcentral
GUAGUCCACGCCGUAAACGAUGAAUACUAGGUGUAGGAGGUAUCGACCCCUUCUGUGCCGCAGUUAACACAAUAAGUAUUCCGCCUGGGGAGUACGAUCGCAAGAUUAAAACUCAAAGGAAUUGACGGGGGCCCGCACAAGCAGCGGAGCAUGUGGUUUAAUUCGAAGCAACGCGAAGAACCUUACCUAGACUUGACAUCUCCUGGAAUUACCCGUUAAUCGGGGAAGCCUUCGGGGCAGGAAGACAGGUGGUGCAUGGUUGUCGUCAGCUCGUGUCGUGAGAUGUUGGGUUCAAGUCCCGCAACGAGCGCAACCCUUAUCAUUAGUUGCUACCAUUAAGUUGAGCACUCUAGUGAGACUGCCACGGUUAACGUGGAGGAAGGUGGGGAUGACGUCAAAUCAUCAUGCCCCUUAUGUCUAGGGCUACACACGUGCUACAAUGGUGAAUACAAAGAGAUGCAAUACCGCGAGGUGGAGCCAAACUCAAAAAUUCAUCCCAGUUCGGAUUGUAGGCUGAAACUCGCCUACAUGAAGCCGGAGUUGCUAGUAAUCGCGAAUCAGCAUGUCGCGGUGAAUACGUUCCCGGGCCUUGUACACACCGCCCGUCACACCAUGAGAGAUGGUAACACCCGGAAGUCCGUGAGGUAACCCGUAAGGGAGCCAGCGGCCGA